AUUAUUGAUUAUAUAAACUUAUUCUCAUUAAAUAAAAUCUGCCAAUAAUCGCACCCAUAAACUAAAUAAUAUCAACACAUGAACCAAUACUCUCCCACUCCACUCAUUCCCUUCCCCCGCUUGAAGCCAAUUCUUCUGAUCACUGCAAGUAGUAGGCCGCGACGGAGAGCAACGAAGCGCCGAUGAGAGAGCCGAUUGCCGGAAGGCCGGCGGUGGCGCCGCUGGUUGGUCCAGGUGCUGGAGCCGCUGCCUCAUCAUGAGCAACGACGGCGCUGACGGUUGCGGCAGCGAAGAGAAUGGCGCAGGUGGAAACUCGAGCGAUUUUCGGUAGAUGGUUAGUUCCUCUAUCCUUUGAUCUUGAAUUGCAGAGCUAUAAUUAGAAAAACCUUCCUGAUUCACAGGGAAACCAGAAGAGGCCGAUUCGUGGAGGGAAAAUUAGGGAAUUUUUGGAAAUUGGGUUUGAAAUUAAAAAUUUUAUUCUAAAAUUCACAAGCUCUAAUUUAUAUAUUAUUUAUUUGUUGCAACAUUCAUUUUAUAUUUUUAUGAUUUUUUAGAUAAUUUAAGGCACUCUAAAUUUAGGAUCUAUUAUUGUAUUUUCUAAUUGAUAAGGGACUGUAUUUAAUUACAAGAUGUUACAAUUAUAAAUUAGUUUGUGUUAA
Molecule: long non-coding RNA, 659 nt
Organism: Cucurbita moschata (crookneck pumpkin)
Lineage: Eukaryota; Viridiplantae; Streptophyta; Magnoliopsida; Cucurbitales; Cucurbitaceae
Exons: 2
Source: RefSeq, a predicted model, not a curated record